Molecule: ribosomal RNA, 466 nt
Filed under: uncultured bacterium
Lineage: Bacteria
Description: partial 16S ribosomal RNA
Rfam family: Bacterial small subunit ribosomal RNA
Source: RNAcentral
GAUGAACGCUGGCGGCGUGCUUAACACAUGCAAGUCGAACGAUGAAGCCCAGCUUGCUGGGUGGAUUAGUGGCGAACGGGUGUGUAACACGUGAGUAACCUGCCCUUAACUCUGGGAUAAGCCUGGGAAACUGGGUCUAAUACCGGAUAGGAGCGUCCACCGCAUGGUGGGUGUUGGAAAGAUUUAUCGGUUUUGGAUGGACUCGCGGCCUAUCAGCUUGUUGGUGAGGUAAUGGCUCACCAAGGCGACGACGGGUAGCCGGCCUGAGAGGGUGACCGGCCACACUGGGACUGAGACACGGCCCAGACUCCUACGGGAGGCAGCAGUGGGGAAUAUUGCACAAUGGGCGCAAGCCUGAUGCAGCGACGCCGCGUGAGGGAUGACGGCCUUCGGGUUGUAAACCUCUUUCAGUAGGGAAGAAGCGAAAGUGACGGUACCUGCAGAAGAAGCACCGGCUAACUACGUG